This 459-nucleotide ribosomal RNA is filed under the name uncultured bacterium. RNAcentral describes it as "partial 16S ribosomal RNA". It matches the Rfam family "Bacterial small subunit ribosomal RNA", at positions 338 to 795 of the family's 1533-position model. The record is from RNAcentral.
CCUACGGGUGGCAGCAGUGAGGAAUAUUGGUCAAUGGGCGAGAGCCUGAACCAGCCAAGUCGCGUGAAGGAUGACGGCCCUACGGGUUGUAAACCUCUUUUGCCGGGGAGCAAAGUGCCGCACGUGUGCGGUUUGGAGAGUACCCGGAGAAAAAGCAUCGGCUAACUCCGUGCCAGCAGCCGCGGUAAUACGGAGGAUGCGAGCGUUAUCCGGAUUUAUUGGGUUUAAAGGGUGCGUAGGCGGACGCUUAAGUCAGCGGUAAAAUUGCGGGGCUCAACCCUGUCGAGCCGUCGGAACUGGCAGCCUUGAGUGGGCGAGAAGUAUGCGGAAUGCGUGGUGUAGCGGUGAAAUGCAUAGAUAUCACGCAGAACGCCGAUUGCGAAGGCAGCAUACCGGCGCCCGACUGACGCUGAGGCACGAAAGCGUGGGGAUCGAACAGGAUUAGAUACCCGGGUAGUC